UACGAGGGGGGCAAGCGUUGUUCGGAAUUAUUGGGCGUAAAGGGCGCGUAGGCGGUGCGGUAAGUCUGAUGUGAAAUCUCCGGGCUCAACUCGGAGUCUGCAUCAGAAACUGCCGUGCUUGAGUGUGGGAGAGGUGAGUGGAAUUCCCGGUGUAGCGGUGGAAUGCGUAGAGAUCCGGAAGAACACCGGUGGCGAAGGCGGCCUGCUGGGCAGUAGCUGACGCUGAGGCGCGACAGCGUGGGGAGCAAACAGG
RNAcentral lists this ribosomal RNA (253 nucleotides) under uncultured bacterium. Its description in RNAcentral is "partial 16S ribosomal RNA". It matches the Rfam family "Bacterial small subunit ribosomal RNA", at positions 524 to 776 of the family's 1533-position model. The record is from RNAcentral.